RNAcentral lists this ribosomal RNA (253 nucleotides) under uncultured bacterium. Its description in RNAcentral is "partial 16S ribosomal RNA". It matches the Rfam family "Bacterial small subunit ribosomal RNA", at positions 524 to 776 of the family's 1533-position model. The record is from RNAcentral.
UACGAAGGGGGCUAGCGUUGCUCGGAAUCACUGGGCGUAAAGGGCGCGUAGGCGGCCAUUCAAGUCGGGGGUGAAAGCCUGUGGCUCAACCACAGAAUUGCCUUCGAUACUGUUUGGCUUGAGUAUGGUAGAGGUCGGUGGAACUGCGAGCGUAGAGGUGAAAUUCGUAGAUAUUCGCAAGAACACCAGUGGCGAAGGCGGCCGACUGGACCAUUACUGACGCUGAGGCGCGAAAGCGUGGGGAGCAAACAGG